ACGAACGCUGGCGGCGUGCCUAAUCCAUGCAAGUAGAACGCACAGUUUAUACCGUAGCUUGCUACACCAUAAACUGUGAGUUGCGAACGGGUGAGUAACGUGUAGGUAACCUGCCUGGUAGCGGGGGAUAACUAUUGGAAACGAUAGCUAAUACCGCAUAAUAUUGAUUAUUGCAUGAUAAUUGAUUGAAAGAUGCUAUUGCAUCACUACCAGAUGGACCUGCGUUGUAUUAGCUAGUAGGUGAGGUAACGGCUCACCUAGGCGACGAUACAUAGCCGACCUGAGAGGGUGAUCGGCCACACUGGGACUGAGACACGGCCCAGACUCCUACGGGAGGCAGCAGUAGGGAAUCUUCGGCAAUGGACGAAAGUCUGACCGAGCAACGCCGCGUGAGUGAAGAAGGUUUUCGGAUCGUAAAGCUCUGUUGUAAGAGAAGAACGGGUGUGAGAGUGGAAAGUUCACACUGUGACGGUAUCUUACCAGAAAGGGACGGCUAACUACGUG
This 504-nucleotide ribosomal RNA is filed under the name uncultured bacterium. RNAcentral describes it as "partial 16S ribosomal RNA". It matches the Rfam family "Bacterial small subunit ribosomal RNA", at positions 29 to 507 of the family's 1533-position model. The record is from RNAcentral.